UAAAUUAAGCAAACUUUCUGUAAUGAGUUGAAAUGGCAUGUGAGUCCAGAAUGUAAUUAUCAACGUCCACUGUUCACGGUUGUUAUGUAAUAUCCGUCUUCUUCUUGUUCU
Long non-coding RNA from Thalassophryne amazonica, 111 nucleotides. RefSeq lists it as uncharacterized. The transcript has 3 exons. Lineage: Eukaryota; Metazoa; Chordata; Actinopteri; Batrachoidiformes; Batrachoididae. The record is from RefSeq and is a predicted model, not a curated record.